UCGGCGACCGGCGCACGGGUGAGUAACGCGUAUCCAACCUGCCCAUAACUAAGGGAUAACCCAGCGAAAGUUGGACUAAUACCGCAUAGUCUUCGAUGACGGCAUCAGAUUUGAAGUAAAGAUUUAUCGGUAAUGGAUGGGGAUGCGUCUGAUUAGCUUGUUGGCGGGGUAACGGCCCACCAAGGCGACGAUCAGUAGGGGUUCUUAGAGGAAGGUCCCCCACAUUGGAACUGAGACACGGUCCAAACUCCUACGGGAGGCAGCAGCC
This 268-nucleotide ribosomal RNA is filed under the name uncultured Prevotella sp. Its description in RNAcentral is "partial 16S ribosomal RNA". It matches the Rfam family "Bacterial small subunit ribosomal RNA", at positions 88 to 355 of the family's 1533-position model. Lineage: Bacteria; Pseudomonadati; Bacteroidota; Bacteroidia; Bacteroidales; Prevotellaceae. The record is from RNAcentral.